AGGAGGAACAAUAUACCAAAUGUGGUUAAAAUCUUUUGAAGCAUAUUGGUUUUAGAGUGUCCACAAGGGUGAUAUUGCCUUGUAUUACAACUGCCACUGUGACCUUGACCUUUGAACUUUAAAGUCAAUAGCGCUUAAGAUAUUCUUAACGAGUAACACCAUACCAAGUUUUGAGCAUUUUGGUUCUAGAGUGUCCAUAACAAUUUUAUCUACACGCAACUUACAUGUAGUAGGCGAGGGGAUAAUAAACUAAGUUUUAUAAGAAUUAGACAAAAAGAUCGAUUACCCGCCAUGCAUGGCAGACUUGUACAGAAACGAUAUGUUGUCGAAAUUCUGUUCGUAUUUUUUAGACAUCGUAUGGCCAUCGCGCCAUCAUCGUAAUCCAUCGUGUAGCCUUCGUAAUCCAUCGUUCAGCCUUCGUGAUCCAUCGUGUAGGCUACGGCUGAGAUAUGAAGCUUAAAUACCCGUCUUCGGUUAACCUUCGUAUGUCCAUCUUUUGCUAUCGUAUACAAUUUCGGCACCAUCGUAUAGACUUCGUUAUUCAUCGUACUUGCUUCGGUCACUUUUUGGUAUUUUAACGAGAUCGGGACCAACUUCGUACGAACUUACAAUUUUAGCAUUCGGGUGUCCAUCGUAUAUAAAAAUCGGGACAGUGUGACGCGGCAUAAGAUGAGUAGCAAAAAUGUAAAAUCACAAUAAUGCUGAACACCAAGGAAAAUUCAAAUUGAAGAGUUCCUAAUUAAAUGGGAAAAUCAAAAGCUCAAACAGAAAAUAGUGAUAAACUGAUAAUCUAUUAACUCUACCAAUUCCUCAGCUACAUCUUAUAUCAGGGCAAACCCCCUUUUUAAAAGUUUAUUUAUAAUAUUGAAGAUGAUGAACUCCCUCUUGGUUUCACAGUAAUAAAUAUUAUUUAAUAAAUUAAUAUCAAAAUCACAUAAAUAUAUAUAUGGUCCCAUAUUGCAUAAAAAUCACACAACUUAAUUACAUGUAUUUACAAAGCAGUUUACAUCUCAAAUAUCUUGUUACAUAGUAUAUUUAUCUUGAACAUUCCAUGUAAAUACAGUAAACCUUUUUGAAAGGAGAACUGAUUGAGUUUUACAUACUAUAAAAUUGUAUAGAGUUAACAAUACUUUAAAAAGUAUCUUACAGAAGGAGUUUACCCUGCAAGAAUACUUUUACUCAAAUACAUAGAGCUAGAGUUAACCCAGGACCACUUUCAGAUUUUUGAAAGAAGACAGUUUUGUUUUACAUGUAUGAUGUUACACUCUAGUUACCAAAGUUCUAGCAACUUUGAAAUUAUGGAUUUUGAACAUCAAGAAGAUAUUUUUUUUAUGUUAUUGUACUAUCAUGACUAUAAUAAUGCAUCAAAAGUACAAAUCAUAGUUAAACUUUUUAAAACAAAUUAUAGCCAAAGUCAGUUAAACUUUCUAAACAUUUAGAAAAUAGUGGUAGCUAAUAUCAAUAUAGGACUGCUAGUAGUGAACACAUAUCAAGAACAUAUAUAUCUGAUUCUGUGUGCAUCUUAGUAUCUAAGUUCUCUUCAUGCCCAACUUUUUCUGUGAAAAGCUGGAUAGCCAUAAGAUAUUGUGGGUAUUAUAUAAUAUUAUAAUUAUAACUUAUUUAUUCUUUAGCAAAUGAACACAGAUAGUUAGAAAAAAAUAUAAUAACUGAGGCCCUCACAUAUAACAUGUAUAAUGACAUCAACCUGGUAUUAGAUGUUACUUUAGUCCAGCCAUGAUUUAUAAUAUAUAUUUUGAUAAAUUCAAAGCAAAUGACUUUAUAAUUCUUAUUAAAGCUAACCUUCAGACAACAUAAAAAAUGCAUCUUUUUUUCGUUUCCUACAUUAGUAACUUUUUGAAACUCAUGAUUUCAGACUAAUGCUCUUAGGGCAAAAAAAAUGUUAUAUGUAUGAUUUUGAUACACAUUUUUGUAGAAAAAGAAUUGAAAAAACUUUGAUGAUAAUAGAUAAUCUUAUAACAAGACAAAUCCAUAUUCAUAACUUUUAUAUAAGAUUUUCUUAUUUUUUGUAAAAUUGAGAUCGUUGAAAAAA
RNAcentral lists this long non-coding RNA (2050 nucleotides) under Mytilus galloprovincialis (Mediterranean mussel). Lineage: Eukaryota; Metazoa; Mollusca; Bivalvia; Mytilida; Mytilidae. The record is from RNAcentral.